CCCUUAGAUGUUCUGGGCAGCACGCGCGCUACAAUGGUCUUCGCAAACGGAUGCAUUCUCGAAGGAGAAUGCCAAUCUUGGAAUCUAUGCCUUGGUCGGGACAGUUGCUUGCAAUUUUUCGACUCGAACCAGGAAUUCCUUGUAAUCGUGAUUCAUCACAUCACGAUGAAUACGUCCCCGCCCUUUGUACACACCGCCCGUCGCUCCUACCGAUCGAAGAGUUAGGUGAAUUGUUUUGAUCGAUAAGAUUUGACUAUGGUUAACUCUCGUUGUGAAAUUCUGUGAAUCUGACUGUUUAGAGGAAGGAAAAGUCGUAACA
This 319-nucleotide ribosomal RNA is filed under the name uncultured eukaryote. Its description in RNAcentral is "partial 18S ribosomal RNA". It matches the Rfam family "Eukaryotic small subunit ribosomal RNA", at positions 1470 to 1796 of the family's 1831-position model. The record is from RNAcentral.